CCUACGGGGGGCAGCAGUGAGGAAUAUUGGUCAAUGGGCGCGAGCCUGAACCAGCGAAGUAGCGUGAAGGAUGACUGCCCUACGGGUUGUAAACUUCUUUUAUAAAGGAAUAAAGUGAGGCACGUGUGCCUUUUUGUAUGUACUUUAUGAAUAAGGAUCGGCUAACUCCGUGCCAGCAGACGCGGUAAGACGGAGGAUCCGAGCGUUAUCCGGAUUUGUUGGGGUUAAAGGGAGCGUAGAUGGGUUGUUAAGUCAGUUGUGAAAGUCUGCGGCUCAACCGUAAAAUUGCAAUUGAUACUGGCAGCCUUGAGUACAGUUGAGGUAGGCGGAAUUCGAGGUGUAGCGGUGAAAUGCGUAGAUAUCACGAAGAACACCGAUGGCGAAGGCAGCCUACUAAACUGCCACUGACAUUGAUGCUCGAAAGUGUGGGUAUCAAACAGGAUUAGAUACCCGUGUAGUC
Molecule: ribosomal RNA, 460 nt
Filed under: uncultured bacterium
Lineage: Bacteria
Description: partial 16S ribosomal RNA
Rfam family: Bacterial small subunit ribosomal RNA
Source: RNAcentral